GAUGAAUGCUGGCGGCGUUCCUAAUACAUGCAAGUCGAGCGAACGGACGAGAAGCUUGCUUCUCUGAUGUUAGCGGCGGACGGGUGAGUAACACGUGGAUAACCUACCUAUAAGACUGGGAUAACUUCGGGAAACCGGAGCUAAUACCGGAUGAUAUUUUGAACCGCAUGGUUCAAAAGUGAAAGACGGUCUUGCUGUCACUUAUAGAUGGAUCCGCGCUGCAUUAGCUAGUUGGUAAGGUAACGGCUUACCAAGGCAACGAUGCAUAGCCGACCUGAGAGGGUGAUCGGCCACACUGGAACUGAGACACGGUCCAGACUCCUACGGGAGGCAGCAGUAGGGAAUCUUCCGCAAUGGGCGAAAGCCUGACGGAGCAACGCCGCGUGAGUGAUGAAGGUCUUCGGAUCGUAAAACUCUGUUAUUAGGGAAGAACAUAUGUGUAAGUAACUGUGCACAUCUUGACGGUACCUAAUCAGAAAGCCACGGCUAACUACGUG
This 497-nucleotide ribosomal RNA is filed under the name uncultured bacterium. RNAcentral describes it as "partial 16S ribosomal RNA". It matches the Rfam family "Bacterial small subunit ribosomal RNA", at positions 28 to 507 of the family's 1533-position model. The record is from RNAcentral.